Molecule: ribosomal RNA, 889 nt
Filed under: uncultured bacterium
Lineage: Bacteria
Description: bacterial SSU rRNA
Rfam family: Bacterial small subunit ribosomal RNA
Source: RNAcentral
ACACAUGCAAGUCGAGGGGCAGCAUGGUCUUAGUUUGCUAAGGCCGAUGGCGACCGGCGCACGGGUGAGUAACACGUAUCCAACCUGCCGUCUACUCUUGGACAGCCUUCUGAAAGGAAGAUUAAUACAAGAUGGCAUCAUGAGUCCGCAUGUUCACAUGAUUAAAGGUAUUCCGGUAGACGAUGGGGAUGCGUUCCAUUAGAUAGUAGGCGGGGUAACGGCCCACCUAGUCUUCGAUGGAUAGGGGUUCUGAGAGGAAGGUCCCCCACAUUGGAACUGAGACACGGUCCAAACUCCUACGGGAGGCAGCAGUGAGGAAUAUUGGUCAAUGGGCGAGAGCCUGAACCAGCCAAGUAGCGUGAAGGAUGACUGCCCUAUGGGUUGUAAACUUCUUUUAUAAAGGAAUAAAGUCGGGUAUGCAUACCCGUUUGCAUGUACUUUAUGAAUAAGGAUCGGCUAACUCCGUGCCAGCAGCCGCGGUAAUACGGAGGAUCCGAGCGUUAUCCGGAUUUAUUGGGUUUAAAGGGAGCGUAGAUGGAUGUUUAAGUCAGUUGUGAAAGUUUGCGGCUCAACCGUAAAAUUGCAGUUGAUACUGGAUAUCUUGAGUGCAGUUGAGGCAGGCGGAAUUCGUGGUGUAGCGGUGAAAUGCUUAGAUAUCACGAAGAACUCCGAUUGCGAAGGCAGCCUGCUAAGCUGCAACUGACAUUGAGGCUCGAAAGUGUGGGUAUCAAACAGGAUUAGAUACCCUGGUAGUCCACACGGUAAACGAUGAAUACUCGCUGUUUGCGAUAUACGGCAAGCGGCCAAGCGAAAGCGUUAAGUAUUCCACCUGGGGAGUACGCCGGCAACGGUGAAACUCAAAGGAAUUGACGGGGGCCCGCACAAGCGG